RNAcentral lists this long non-coding RNA (2713 nucleotides) under Homo sapiens (human). Its description in RNAcentral is "HSALNT0354095". The record is from RNAcentral. Lineage: Eukaryota; Metazoa; Chordata; Mammalia; Primates; Hominidae.
AGGAGGGAAAGAAGGAGGGAAAAGGGGGCGGAAGGGGAGGUGGGUGCUGUCUGGGCAGGAGUAUAGGGAGGAGAGAAUGGAGCCUGGGGGUGCCCGGGAGAGGCAGAGGUGGAAAGCUGGGCUGCCCCUUCUCUUUUUCCUUCUCUCAAACUCCUUGUACCUUUCCAUGAUAACCCCAAUUUCCCUGGCAAUUAUUUUAUCUACUUAUUUCUUUUUUUUUUUUCUCUGAGAAAGUAAACCCCAAAGGAGAAGGGAUCGCACCUGUGUUAUUCGCUGCAGUAUCCCAGAAGCACAGUGCUUCACAGGCAAUAUGUGCUUAAUAAAUAUACGCCGAAUGACUGAACUGCAACCAAGGACACUGUAUACUUGCUUUACAGACCUAGUGACGUAGGAUUCAGAGUGUUUGUAAGAGACCAGGCAGAUACCGCGCAGAAUUUCUUACAUGGAUCACCUACAGGCACUAACAUAUUCCCGAGGAAUAUAAACAAUGCUGAAUUCAGGGCGUUUUUCAAGAUGACACAGGUCUCAAGAACACAACCUCUGUUACUCUGUUCCCUCUUAUCCAUCAUCUCAUGCCCGAGUCACAUCUUUGUUGUUGGUGCCUGGCGGCUAUUCUGCAGAAUACCUUGGGGGAAGGUCUGCAAUGUGCCCAAAGAAGCCUUUUGUGUGUGUUGAGAGUGACAGUCGCCUCUGGAUGAUCUCACUUUUCUCCUUUUGUUUCAACUAGAUUUGUUCUUUCUGUUGAAGACUAAUCUCACAUGCUCCCUCUUAUUCCUUCUUCCUUUCGGAGCGCAUCAAUUACUCCAAAUGCAUAAGAAACAAAUGUGGUUCAAGAGCAAACAGUUCAAAGGGACUUGGGGGAACCUCAGGCCACUACAUCAAACUGAAAGAUGCAAACACUCCUUCGCUUUAAAAAAUGUUGGCAAGUUCUGUGUUCUAUAGUUCAGCCAAAAUAUCAGUCUAAAGAUAACCAUGCUGGAACUAGCAAAACUAAGCCACUGAUCACCUUAUCAUUAAGUCUGGCCAUUUUACUUUCCUCUAUAAACAAAUGAUAAUCCAUGGAUAUGUUUUAAAGCUGAUUAUGGGCAUUACACAAAUGAAACCCCCUUUCCCAAUUAGACUGUUAUAUUGGAAUGUUUUUUUGUUUCAUUUAUUUGCUUGCUUUUCAGUUAUUCAGAGAAAUGAGCAUGGUACAGUUUGCAUAUAAGCCUAUUGAAUUUGCAAUAUUAAGGAUACCACCUUAAAUUAUAUUACAAGAUGCCUAAAAUCAGUGUUGGUCUCUAAAUGAUACCAACCACUAUAGCCUGUGUUCUUUCUAAAGCACAAAGACCUUUCUGGACUCUCUGGGGGAAAUAUCCAGGCCCUGCAGGUGCAGUUCUGAAAAAAUCAGAAACCUCAGGGGCAAGGACAGAACUCUAUCUUUUGGGCAUGCACUGGGGCUGGGAGCCUCUAGAAUUGUGUUAUUUCUCUCAUCUUGUGUCUUUGACCACAGUGUAGUCCAGUUUCUUGGCUGCAAGUAAAAGAAUCUACCUCUAAGAAGCUUAACAUGAAAGAUAAUUUGUUGGAAGAAUCUCACAUAAUCUAAAGAAGAGCUGAAUGAUUCAGUCUUAGGAAGGGUGAGGAUCCCACUGGGUUUAAGGAAAUAUUGGAACCAACGCCUCAGGACCAGUUAUGUAAUUUGCAGUGUCCUUUGUUUGAAAAUGAUUGAGAGCUUCAAGAUGGCCACAGCAGAACAUUAAACCAAGUACGGGACCUUAUGAGACUGCGUGGGCCACAUGCCCAUGAAGCUGGCCCUGCAAGGAGUUGGGCCCAUUGACCUCUCUGUGCCUUUCACCUCUGCUUCUCUUUCCUUCACUCUCUCCUAUGGUAAAGCAAUUCUUCCACAUUGCAGAGGACACAACCACUGACAGAUUCCAAGUUAAGACUUUGGGGAUUUUAUCAUCAGAAAAGACGGACUUUUCCCUGUUCUAGUUAGAUGCCCAUAAAUCCCAUGAACAGGCUCUGAUUGGUCUCACUUGGGUUGGGUUCCCACCUAUGAGCCAUCAGACAUGGCUUAUAACAUAUGGGAGCUUCCAUUUGAACCUCAUGGAUGGAGCUGGUCGGGGGGAAGUGGGGGCUGGGUAGGAAGAGCAGGUACCAAAAGAAGCACAUGCUCUUCCUUAUAAGAACAGGGUAAUGCUGAGCAGACAGAACAACAGAUGGACAUUAGACAGGUCCAUUAGUGCUGACUCUAUAGGAGAGAGGAAGCAUUUUGAACUCCCUUCAGUUUUGCCAACUGAAUAGGCCACAGAUCCUGCUAUAGUUACAGGCCUCCACUAGCUCAUUCAUUAGUGCCAGGUCCAUCUUAUUAUUUGCUAAAAUAUCCCUUCACCUCUGUGUAGAUAGAAUUGGUAUCUCACUUGCAGACACUCUUGUGUUUACAAACUGUGGGUUACAACACAUUAGUGAGUGAUGAAGUUGGUUUAGUGAGUUACAAACAACAUCAAAAAAAUAGAACAGCAGAUAAUUGAAGAGAAAGUAUCAUCUGUAAGGGGAAGUACUAUUACUUCAUAAAGUUGUUUAUAAAGUUGUAAAAAGUUUACUUCAUAAAGUUGUAAAACUAAAUAUAGUAUAUAUAUGAUAAAGGAAUACCAGGUCAUUCUGGGUUUGCAAUAUGACAUAUUUUCUUGCUUGGAUUAUGGUAAAAAAUAAAGACAGUCUGACAUAUACUAUA